AUGGAAUUUUUGGCAGCUGACUGGUCCUCGCUCCCAGCCGACCUCCUCAACCGCAUCGCCGACCGCUUCCUGGCCACCAGUGACGUCGAUUACUACAUGGAUUUCCGUGCCGUCUGCCGUCGCUGGCGCUCCACCACCCAAGACCCCAAGAAUUCCCCGGACCCUCGCUUCCACCCCCGUCACUGGGUCAACAUCAACGGAGCCUCUUGCCGCUCCAACACGCGCCUCUUGGUGAACACCGCCACUGGCCGAACCCUGCGCCAGGAACUCGGUCUGCUCCGUCACUUUAACAUUAUCAGUACCACCACAGAUGGUCUCCUUGCUUUGAUGGACUGUACACCCCCCCACAAUACAUGCGUCCUCAAUCCUUUCACAGGCUACUUGAUCCGUUUUAUGGCGCAGCGACCCGGCGAGCUCGUGGAAUAUGCUGCCCUCGAGUCCGGUUCUCCACCCACCAUUUUCUUUUUCUGCAAGGACUACAUGGAUGAUAACUGGGUUAUACACGAAUCAUCUCGCAAGGUCUACAUGGCUCAGCCUGACAGUGAGUCUCUCGCCAUCUAUGAGGACAGGUGUGCUUUCCCUUUGAUCAGGCUGGCUGCCAGCGGUAUCUACACUAUUGGUGGUGCUGACCUUGGAUCUUUGACCAGAAGGAUUUUUGAUCUAAUGAGGUUUUACAUGGCCGAUCUUGCUGAGAUAUCUGACAAUGACUAUACCAUUAUGUCGGACGAAAAAUCUUUAUGGAAGCUUUGUGUAGGACGUUGUUUCCUAACGGAAUCAGCUGGAAAAGUGUUGAUCAUCAUGAAGCUAGCACAUGGCGUCGUGGUCUACAGAUUACACACUCACAACUAUAAACUCGAGCAUGUGGAGGACAUUGGCAACUGUGCCAUCUUCUUAGAUCUGUAUUGUUGGUGCUUGUGUGUUAAUGCCGAUAAAUUUCCAUCAGUCCACGCCAACUGCGUCUAUUACCAGAAAAGCCGACUAGCUGUUGCUAAUUAUAUGUGCAUGUAUAAUCUCAAGUCCGAGAGAGAAGAAAGAGUUGAUGAAAAAUUUGAGCAUCUUCUUUUGGACCAAAGGCUGUCUCGGCUUUAA
Molecule: ribosomal RNA, 1089 nt
Filed under: Triticum aestivum (bread wheat)
Lineage: Eukaryota; Viridiplantae; Streptophyta; Magnoliopsida; Poales; Poaceae
Description: partial small subunit ribosomal RNA
Source: RNAcentral